Molecule: ribosomal RNA, 253 nt
Filed under: uncultured bacterium
Lineage: Bacteria
Description: partial 16S ribosomal RNA
Rfam family: Bacterial small subunit ribosomal RNA
Source: RNAcentral
UACAGAGGCCCCAAGCGUUACUGAGAAUCACUGGGUUUAAAGGGUGCGUAGGUGGCGCGUUAAGUCCGUUGUGAAAGCCCUGGGCUCAACCCAGGAACUGCUUCGGAUACUGGCGCGCUUGAGGCUAGUAGGGGUCACUGGAACUGACGGUGGAGCGGUGAAAUGCGUAGAUAUCAGGAGGAACACCAAUUGCGAAGGCAGCUCGCUGGGACGUUACUGACGCUGAGACGCGAAAGCGUGGGGAGCAAACAGG